CAAGUCGAGUGCGCGUCUGUAGCAAUACAGAUGGCGCACGGCGCACGGGUGCGUAACACGUGGGUAAUCUGCCCUUCGAAGGGGAAUAACUCGCCGAAAGGCGAGCUAAUUCCGCAUAACAUUCCGAGAACCUUGGUUUUUGGAUUCAAAGGCGUAAGUCGUCGGAGGAGGAGCCCGCGCACGAUUAGCUAGUAGGUAGGGUAACGGCCUACCAAGGCUAUGAUCGUUAGCUGGUCUGAGAGGAUGGCCAGCCACACUGGAACUGAGACACGGUCCAGACUCCUACGGGAGGCAGCAGUGGGGAAUCUUGCACAAUGGGCGAAAGCCUGAUGCAGCGACGCCGCGUGGGGGAUGAAGCUUCUCGGAGUGUAAACCCCUUUCGACCCGGACGAAUGCCCCGCAAGGGGACUGACGGUACGGGUAUAAGAAGCCCCGGCUAACUACGUGCCAGCAGCCGCGGUAAGACGUAGGGGGCCAGCGUUGCUCGGAAUUACUGGGUGUAAAGGGUUCGUAGGCGGUGUGGCAAGUCGGGAGUGAAAUCUCUGGGCUCAACCCAGAGUCUGCUUCCGAAACUGCUGUGCUUGAGUGUGGGAGAGGCGCGUGGAAUUGCAGGUGUAGCGGUGAAAUGCGUAGAUAUCUGCAGGAACACCCGUGGCGAAAGCGGCGCGCUGGACCACUACUGACGCUGAGGAACGAAAGCUAGGGGAGCAAACAGGAUUAGAUACCCUGGUAGUCCUAGCCCUAAACGAUCAGGACUUGGGGUGCCACCCGUUCGGGUGUCGUCCCGGAGCUAACGCGUUGAGUCCUGCACCUGGGGAGUACGGUCGCAAGACUGAAACUCAAAAGGAAUUGACGGGGGCCCGCACAAGCGGUGGA
This 876-nucleotide ribosomal RNA is filed under the name uncultured Pseudomonadota bacterium. Its description in RNAcentral is "bacterial SSU rRNA". It matches the Rfam family "Bacterial small subunit ribosomal RNA", at positions 58 to 936 of the family's 1533-position model. The record is from RNAcentral. Lineage: Bacteria; Pseudomonadati; Pseudomonadota.